GUAAAAACUGACCGAGUAAAUGUGAAUAUUUUUUCACUUGAACACUCUGAUCUGUUUGGAACUUAAUUUCCUUACUCAUGAAAUUAAUAUAAUAAGGCUAAGUUGGUCAGUAGUUAAACUAACUAAAUUUGGCUGAAGAUUGCUAUGUUCACUAUGCAAAGAUUAGACCGUUAGUUCCCUGAGUGAAGAGAUGCUAUCUUGGUAUCUCCAGCUUCCAACCGGGGGCUUGGCACAGAAUAGGGGCUUGGUAAAUGUUUUCCAAAUGAAUGGGAUGUCUGAUGGAAAGAAGACAAGGUGAAGGAAUUCCUGGGUAAUAUGGAGAUGAGAAUCUGUGAGAAGGAUACAUGUACUGAUGCCUGUCGCGGUGGACACACAGACGCACACAUUGCGGAACACCACCAAAAACCAUAAAAGGUAAGAAGACAGUGAAGCAACGUAAUUAAAGGACACAGAGAAACGAACGGCCAAGCCCGAAUUCUACAUCCAGCAAAGGAAAAGAUUUUUUAUAAAUGCAGGCAACAUAGUUGCAUUCUCAGUAAGAAUAUUGAGAAUAUCGAGAACACUUCAAUAUUCCAAACUUCAAUGGAAAUAUACGAACUGGAGUACACUCUUCUUCUGCCCUUGGACAUCAGGCUCUCUGGCCUUUGGACUCCAGGACUUAUACCAGCGCCCCUCUGGGUUCUCAGGCCUCUGUACUUGAACUGAGCCACACUGCCAGCAUGCCAGCUUCUCCAGCUUGCCAGGCCUGCUGUGGGACUUCUCAGCCUCCAUAAUCAUGUGUGCCAAUUCCCCUAAUA
RNAcentral lists this long non-coding RNA (797 nucleotides) under Homo sapiens (human). RNAcentral describes it as "HSALNT0352733". The record is from RNAcentral. Lineage: Eukaryota; Metazoa; Chordata; Mammalia; Primates; Hominidae.